UACGUAGGGGGCGAGCGUUAAUCGGAAUUACUGGGCGUAAAGAGUGCGCAGGCGGCCAUGCAAGUCGAGUGUGAAAGCCCCGGGCUUAACUUGGGAAUUGCGCUCGAAACUACGUGGCUGGAGUGUGGCAGAGGAAGGUGGAAUUCCACGUGUAGCGGUGAAAUGCGUAGAGAUGUGGAGGAACACCAAUGGCGAAGGCAGCCUUCUGGGCCAACACUGACGCUCAUGCACGAAAGCGUGGGGAGCAAACAGG
RNAcentral lists this ribosomal RNA (253 nucleotides) under uncultured bacterium. RNAcentral describes it as "partial 16S ribosomal RNA". It matches the Rfam family "Bacterial small subunit ribosomal RNA", at positions 524 to 776 of the family's 1533-position model. The record is from RNAcentral.